UUCAAGCUUGAAGAUGGUAGCAUUCGCUAGUUUUUGAAAUGAGAAAGAUUAUUUUAAUCUUUCAUCAAAUUCAAAAGUAUUCAUCUGAUUAAUAAGUUCUUACUGCUAAUGAACAUGUUGUCCUAGAAAAUCUGAAGUAGUACAAAGAUCACAGAGGAAAUGGCCAUUAUACUAUGAUUUAUAUUCCAUAAAGCUUAGAAGUGAGUUGUCAAAAGUAGCCAAUAUCACUGAUGAAGGGAAUCUUCAAAAUUAUGUGAUUUUA
This 262-nucleotide long non-coding RNA is filed under the name Bos taurus (domestic cattle). RNAcentral's name for it is "long non-coding RNA NONBTAT012553". The record is from RNAcentral. Lineage: Eukaryota; Metazoa; Chordata; Mammalia; Artiodactyla; Bovidae.